GGACGGGUGAGUAAUGCCUGGGAAAUUGCCCUGAUGUGGGGGAUAACCAUUGGAAACGAUGGCUAAUACCGCAUAAUAGCUUCGGCUCAAAGAGGGGGACCUUCGGGCCUCUCGCGUCAGGAUAUGCCCAGGUGGGAUUAGCUAGUUGGUGAGGUAAUGGCUCACCAAGGCGACGAUCCCUAGCUGGUCUGAGAGGAUGAUCAGCCACACUGGAACUGAGACACGGUCCAGACUCCUACGGGAGGCAGCAGUGGGGAAUAUUGCACAAUGGGCGCAAGCCUGAUGCAGCCAUGCCGCGUGUAUGAAGAAGGCCUUCGGGUUGUAAAGUACUUUCAGCAGUGAGGAAGGUGGUAGUGUUAAUAGCACUAUCAUUUGACGUUAGCUGCAGAAGAAGCACCGGCUAACUCCGUGCCAGCAGCCGCGGUAAUACGGAGGGUGCGAGCGUUAAUCGGAAUUACUGGGCGUAAAGCGCAUGCAGGUGGUUUGUUAAGUCAGAUGUGAAAGCCCGGGGCUCA
This 515-nucleotide ribosomal RNA is filed under the name Vibrio tubiashii. RNAcentral's name for it is "bacterial SSU rRNA". It matches the Rfam family "Bacterial small subunit ribosomal RNA", at positions 100 to 611 of the family's 1533-position model. The record is from RNAcentral. Lineage: Bacteria; Pseudomonadati; Pseudomonadota; Gammaproteobacteria; Vibrionales; Vibrionaceae.